This 2776-nucleotide ribosomal RNA is filed under the name Serratia marcescens. RNAcentral describes it as "bacterial LSU rRNA". It matches the Rfam family "Bacterial large subunit ribosomal RNA". Lineage: Bacteria; Pseudomonadati; Pseudomonadota; Gammaproteobacteria; Enterobacterales; Yersiniaceae. The record is from RNAcentral.
AGCGUACACGGUGGAUGCCUAGGCAGUCAGAGGCGAUGAAGGGCGUGCUAAUCUGCGAAAAGCGUCGGUAAGGUGAUAUGAACCGUUAUAACCGGCGAUACCCGAAUGGGGAAACCCAGUGUGUUUCGACACACUAUCAUGUCAUGAAUACAUAGUGGCAUGAGGCGAACCGGGGGAACUGAAACAUCUAAGUACCCCGAGGAAAAGAAAUCAACCGAGAUUCCCCCAGUAGCGGCGAGCGAACGGGGAGGAGCCCAGAACCUGAAUCGGCUUGUGUGUUAGUGGAAGCGUCUGGAAAGUCGCGCAGCAAAGGGUGAUAGCCCCGUACACUAAAAUGCACAGGUCGUGAGUUCGAUGAGUAGGGCGGGACACGUGACAUCCUGUCUGAAUAUGGGGGGACCAUCCUCCAAGGCUAAAUACUCCUGACUGACCGAUAGUGAACCAGUACCGUGAGGGAAAGGCGAAAAGAACCCCGGCGAGGGGAGUGAAAUAGAACCUGAAACCGUGUACGUACAAGCAGUGGGAGCACCUUCGUGGUGUGACUGCGUACCUUUUGUAUAAUGGGUCAGCGACUUAUAUUUUGUAGCAAGGUUAACCGUAUAGGGGAGCCGUAGGGAAACCGAGUCUUAACUGGGCGAUUAGUUGCAAGGUAUAGACCCGAAACCCGGUGAUCUAGCCAUGGGCAGGUUGAAGGUUGGGUAACACUAACUGGAGGACCGAACCGACUAAUGUUGAAAAAUUAGCGGAUGACUUGUGGCUGGGGGUGAAAGGCCAAUCAAACCGGGAGAUAGCUGGUUCUCCCCGAAAGCUAUUUAGGUAGCGCCUCGUGAACUCAUCUUCGGGGGUAGAGCACUGUUUCGGCUAGGGGGCCAUCCCGGCUUACCAAACCGAUGCAAACUCCGAAUACCGAAGAAUGUUAUCACGGGAGACACACGGCGGGUGCUAACGUCCGUCGUGAAGAGGGAAACAACCCAGACCGCCAGCUAAGGUCCCAAAGUCAUGGUUAAGUGGGAAACGAUGUGGGAAGGCACAGACAGCCAGGAUGUUGGCUUAGAAGCAGCCAUCAUUUAAAGAAAGCGUAAUAGCUCACUGGUCGAGUCGGCCUGCGCGGAAGAUGUAACGGGGCUAAACCAUGCACCGAAGCUGCGGCAGCGACGCUUAGGCGUUGUUGGGUAGGGGAGCGUUCUGUAAGCCGUUGAAGGUGGCCUGUGAGGGUUGCUGGAGGUAUCAGAAGUGCGAAUGCUGACAUAAGUAACGAUAAAGCGGGUGAAAAGCCCGCUCGCCGGAAGACCAAGGGUUCCUGUCCAACGUUAAUCGGGGCAGGGUGAGUCGACCCCUAAGGCGAGGCUGAAAAGCGUAGUCGAUGGGAAACAGGUUAAUAUUCCUGUACUUGGUGUUACUGCGAAGGGGGGACGGAGAAGGCUAGGCUGGCCGGGCGACGGUUGUCCCGGUUUAAGCGUGUAGGGGGUGUGACCUGGUAAAUCCGGUUACAUACUAACCCUGAGGCGUGAUGACGAUGCACUACGGUGCAGAAGUAGUUGAUGCCCUGCUUCCAGGAAAAUCCUCUAAGCUCCAGGUAACAUUAAAUCGUACCCCAAACCGACACAGGUGGUCAGGUAGAGAAUACCAAGGCGCUUGAGAGAACUCGGGUGAAGGAACUAGGCAAAAUGGUGCCGUAACUUCGGGAGAAGGCACGCUGGCAUGUAGGUGAAGUCCCUUGCGGAUGGAGCUGAAGCCAGUCGAAGAUACCAGCUGGCUGCAACUGUUUAAUAAAAACACAGCACUGUGCAAACACGAAAGUGGACGUAUACGGUGUGACGCCUGCCCGGUGCUGGAAGGUUAAUUGAUGGGGUCAGCCGCAAGGCGAAGCUCUUGAUCGAAGCCCCAGUAAACGGCGGCCGUAACUAUAACGGUCCUAAGGUAGCGAAAUUCCUUGUCGGGUAAGUUCCGACCUGCACGAAUGGCGUAAUGAUGGCCAGGCUGUCUCCACCCGAGACUCAGUGAAAUUGAACUCGCUGUGAAGAUGCAGUGUACCCGCGGCAAGACGGAAAGACCCCGUGAACCUUUACUAUAGCUUGACACUGAACAUUGAGCCUUGAUGUGUAGGAUAGGUGGGAGGCUUUGAAGCGUGGACGCCAGUCUGCGUGGAGCCAUCCUUGAAAUACCACCCUUUAAUGUUUGAUGUUCUAACUCGGCCCCAUAAUCUGGGGUGAGGACAGUGUCUGGUGGGUAGUUUGACUGGGGCGGUCUCCUCCCAAAGAGUAACGGAGGAGCACGAAGGUUAGCUAAUCACGGUCGGACAUCGUGAGGUUAGUGCAAAGGCAUAAGCUAGCUUGACUGCGAGAGUGACGGCUCGAGCAGGUACGAAAGUAGGUCUUAGUGAUCCGGUGGUUCUGAAUGGAAGGGCCAUCGCUCAACGGAUAAAAGGUACUCCGGGGAUAACAGGCUGAUACCGCCCAAGAGUUCAUAUCGACGGCGGUGUUUGGCACCUCGAUGUCGGCUCAUCACAUCCUGGGGCUGAAGUAGGUCCCAAGGGUAUGGCUGUUCGCCAUUUAAAGUGGUACGCGAGCUGGGUUUAGAACGUCGUGAGACAGUUCGGUCCCUAUCUGCCGUGGGCGUUGGAAGAUUGAGAGGGGUUGCUCCUAGUACGAGAGGACCGGAGUGAACGCACCACUGGUGUUCGGGUUGUCAUGCCAAUGGCAUUGCCCGGUAGCUAAGUGCGGAAAAGAUAAGCGCUGAAAGCAUCUAAGCGCGAAACUUGCCUCAAGAUGAGUCU